GCUGGGAUAGCUCAGUUGGUAGAGCAUGAGACUCUUAAUCUCAAGGUUGUAGGUUCGAGCCCCACAUUGGGCA
RNAcentral lists this transfer RNA (73 nucleotides) under Podarcis lilfordi (Lilford's wall lizard). It matches the Rfam family "tRNA". Rfam says of the family: Transfer RNA (tRNA) molecules are approximately 80 nucleotides in length. Their secondary structure includes four short double-helical elements and three loops (D, anti-codon, and T loops). Lineage: Eukaryota; Metazoa; Chordata; Lepidosauria; Squamata; Lacertidae. The record is from Rfam by way of RNAcentral.